Long non-coding RNA from Orbicella faveolata, 1407 nucleotides. NCBI's taxonomy places the organism in Eukaryota, Metazoa, Cnidaria, Anthozoa, Scleractinia, Merulinidae. The record is from RefSeq and is a predicted model, not a curated record.
AGAGUUCAACCAGAAAGAGAAAGGCUUCAAGUGCUACCACCCAGGUUACUAAGCGAACCAGAGUGACUAAUGUCAUAGAUAGGGUUGCUUUUAAGGAAGGCAAACCUAGUGACCGUGAACUAGAUGAGCUGGCAGCGAAGAUUGGUCAAAAGUGGGACAAGCUGGGAAUUUACCUGAACAUUUCUCAGGACGUGCUCGACGAAAUAGCUGCUAACGCAAAAGAUAAACCAUAUCGGAUGUUACUUCGCUGGAGAGAUGAAUCAAAUUCGACUACACUUUAUGAAGACCUCUACUCCGCUCUCUGUCAUCACAGAGUUGGCCUAAAUAACGUGGCAAAGCUUUUUUGUUGUAAGGAAACUACAUAACGCAUUUUCUUACCGUGCGGCUACUUGAAGUCCAGCAACUGAUGCCAACCUAUAGACGACUUCAGUACAGAGUCAUCUACUUUCUUUUUUUUUUGGCGUGAAUCGGAAUAUUCUCUGCCUCGACCUAUAAGUUCGCGGUACUUUCCUUCUCUAUGGCGACUGUAAACAUAAAUUUUACAAUGGGCGAGCGAAGUCUAGCACGCUGAUUGGUUAACUUCCUGUUGAUAUUUGCUCCUUGUUUUGUAACAUAAUGCAUUCUCUUUGUAUGUAUAGCUUGGAUAUUUCUCGAUUGUUACGGGACGCUAGGCCUCGCUGGGUCUGUUGUUUCUUGCCGCGGAUCCACAAUUAAUUUCGCCAGAAACUUCUGUCUAUUUAACGUUGCUGGUACUAGUGACAUUUGCAUAAGCACAGCAGACAUCUCGUGGAGUAGGGAAGUUAGAAUUUCAAGAUAAUAAUAUUAUUAUUACCUUUGCUUCCACAAUGACGAAGAUUUCCUCUAGUCUUAGGAAGCCACCUCUUACGCACGUAACUAAUACUCAACUCGCAGACAGUUCAGGGCAAGUUGACAUGCCCACUUGAUCCACAAUGUUUUUUAACCUUGUAUACUGAUUGCCUGUCUUGGCCAGACAUUGACGGUGUUCACUAUAAGGUAUGGUAACACCAUUGGGAAUGAUAUCAUGUAUCUAUAUCAGGCAAAGUCUGAUAGACACACGCCUCACAUGUGGUAAUCUACAAAAUGUACGUAGAAUUUUUAUAUCAUCCCUUAUAUAUGACUUUUAACAUAACCUAUUUUUAGAUAUAUCUCUGAACUAAAAUAAGUGCUUGUUUUAUUUUUUGGUGUGUUUGCUGUAAACAGUGUAAAUUAAAGGGACAUUAUUGCGGCAGUCUGAUCAAACGAGUGCUUAAAAUAAUUAUAACUGAGUAACUUGCAUCAUACAUGAAAUGUUCCUAGAGCACCAAGAAGACGAUAUUAAAUGAAUCGUUAAAGGGAGAGCAAAUGAAACUUGUUUUUUAAUCGAGUUUUCCUGCAUCAUUACGAAAA